Molecule: long non-coding RNA, 2778 nt
Filed under: Oreochromis niloticus (Nile tilapia)
Lineage: Eukaryota; Metazoa; Chordata; Actinopteri; Cichliformes; Cichlidae
Description: lncRNA (ENSONIG00000042703.1)
Source: RNAcentral
AUGUGUGAACUGAACACAUUCCCACUCCAAACAGUGAUGGCUCUGAAUGUAUCCAAGAACUGGCAGACUGCCUUACUGCCAGCUGCAGAAGCAUGCCCGGCCCCUGCUGCUGCUCAUUUAAGCUGCACAGGAAACCCUGUAGCGCUGAUACAGCUGUGGGUCAUCAGCUCGUCAGUAUCAAAUGCUCAGUCAGGUUGUUUCCUACCUUGUCACUGUCUACAGUGUUCUGGGAUGUCCUGGAUGCAAUUGAGAUGGUGUCUGGUUGGCUGCUGCCGUCUCCCUGACUGUCUCCGUCUUCACCUCCCUCCCUGCAAAAACACGCAGCACAACCAGGAUGAAUGCCAAGGUGUAAAUGUGAAUGGUCUUACUGAUGAGGCACAUCCAGCAAAUGCACACGUGGGACAUUUACAGGACUUUAUGUCUGUGGCAGCCUUUAAAAUAACUGUUGUUUUGCUGAAACCUGUAAUUGGAUCAAUACAACUGGACAUGAAUACAAACACUGAUCUUCAUUCACGUCACAUUCAUCAUGUAAAUUAGAACCCAUUCAUUUCCUCCUGCUUAUCCAGUAAAGGGUCAGGGGGCCUGCAGCCUAUCUCAGCUUCCACAGGGCAAGAUGCGAGGAACACCUACGGCCAGUUUACGGCCUAACCCCACAAACUGCAUGUGUUUGGACUGCAGGUACAAGCCGGAGUACGCCCACACAUAAUGCAAACUCCACACAAACCCAUGAUAUUCUUGCUGUGAGGUUAACACUAAGUCAUCACGUUCAGUGGUUAAAAUAAACGCUGCUUAUUUCUGUAUUUUUCAGCAGCUUUAGUCUUCCACAUAUCUGUGACGGUAAUAACAGGACAUUCCUACCGCUCCCUUUGUGCCCACUCUUAUGUUUCUGUCACAGUGAAUCCAUCAAUGUGUGUGUUUUCCAAGUACUACAGUAAUACAAGUAUGUGUUUCUUCACCUUUUAGCAUUAUUCCUGGGUUUGGUCAGUGCUGGUGUUUUAGGCAGGUGAAGCGGCUCCUUAAGCGCCCCCUUCAGGUGAGUCAUCCUCUCCUGGAUCACCUCCCUGAUGUUCUUAAUCCAGUCUUGUUUAGCUUCCAUACUGGAUGCCUGGAGAAGUCACCGUUUUAAUAUCACAGCUGAUGAAAGCAGAGAGCCCAGACUUUCGUUUACAUUUAAUUUCACAUACUUUCAGCACAGUUUUAUUAUCAGAGGAUGGGGUUCUUCCAGCCCACACAGCAAAUUUACAUGGGUCACCCUCAAUGUGCUCAGUCACCCCCAACUCUGACGUCUGCGGGAAGAGUAAGGAAGAGGGUACAGUUAAAGCAAAUGGACACAAACACAGUGAGAACAUCAGUCAUGGCUGAAACCACCCGCUCACCAGUAGUCUGUUCUUGUACUGGUACUUGGUUCUGCCAGCUGAGUCUUUGAUCUCUUUGCUAAAGACCAAAGAGAACUCAAACAGGAAGAGGUGCCGGUCCCUACCCUUCCUGAUGAGCGAGCGUGGAUCCCAAACCUGAAAACUGUCCUGCAAGAUCAGCUCACCCUGCACCUCCAGGUUCUCCUCAAAGCCUACAGAAGAGCCAAGCAUGAAUAACCCUGUUUCACAUCAGUGCUAGGAGGAAGUGCGGCGAGGACGGUAUCUUACCCUCUAACAUGGCGAGAUGCAUGGCGUCGUUUGCUCUCUUAGGAACGCUGAGCAUCACCUCCAAACCGUCUUUGAUCUCUCCCUUUCCCUCCUCACAGCAGGACAAUAACUCCUGCAGGAGGACAGGACGAGAUGUUAAAACUGAUGAAAGGGGAUCGUUUGUCUGAUCUAUAAAUAUUUGGACCAUUUAAACCACACGUUCUAGUAGUUCCCACUCAGUGCACCCACACUGUUUCUGUUUUUUAAUGGUUGAGUUAUUUCUGUGUGUGUUGCUGUAUGUUCACCUUUAGCAGUAGUUGGUACUUGGUGAUCCUCUGGACUGGUUUGAUGAGGUAGGAGGAGAUUGAGUUAGCCAGUCCUCGUCUCUGCUGAAUCUCCUGCACGUGCACACAGCAGAAAUGUGUAUACAUAUUAAAUGUCCAACGCUUGUAAUGGUGGAAACAGAAACGUCAGUCCAACAGCACCAUCUGCUGACAGAGGAGCAAUUACACAAUGUGUGUGCCUACAGGGAGAAAUCACAGCAUGACACCGAGUCUAUUUAUCUUCCACAUGUGCUCGACAAAUGAACGCGGCACACUGAAUGUCACACACCGAGUGUGUGUUUAUAUAAAAAGUAUAAAAAGUAACUGCGUCAGGUACACUGAAGGAGGAUGUGUGCUUUGAAUGGGGUUAAAAAACUGUGACCAUUCAUGAAAAACUUUAUUAAUACUGUUUACUUAAAGAAAACUUUGACAUAUUUAAGCGGAGCCUUCUCAGGGCGGUUAAUGAAUGGGGAAAUAAAAAAUGUCACACAGACUUUUACGAGUCAACAAGUGCAAAAAAAGAGGAUGAUUGGUGGCCCGAUUUUAAAGGAGCCCAGAACACGCCAGCUAAUGCUGUAAAAAUGCUAAACAAGCAUUUGCAAAUGGAACUGACAAAUUUGACUCGUUCAUACAUAAAGUGAUAGCAGCAAAAAGUUGAAACAGUAUCAAGCUUCCCCCUCUCUUCAUCAGCUCGAGUGUUUGAAGCUGCAGUCAGCUGCUGUAUGUUUUCACAAGCUGUUCAGUAACUAAGAACUAACUCAGCGGCCUGCAUCGAAGCCAGUUUAACAUAUAUCAAAUAUAAGAAUGAUGUUACCUUAAUAAAUAUGAAGUUA